Molecule: ribosomal RNA, 429 nt
Filed under: Verrucomicrobiota bacterium
Lineage: Bacteria; Pseudomonadati; Verrucomicrobiota
Description: Verrucomicrobia bacterium partial 16S ribosomal RNA
Rfam family: Bacterial small subunit ribosomal RNA
Source: RNAcentral
UGGGGAAUCUUCCGCAAUGGACGAAAGUCUGACGGAGCAACGCCGCGUGAGUGAUGACGGUCUUCGGAUUGUAAAGCUCUGUUAAUCGGGACGAAUGGUUUGUGUGCAAAUAGUGCAUAGACAUGACGGUACCGGAAUAGAAAGCCACUGCUAACUACGUGCCAGCAGCCGCGGUAAUACGUAGGUGGCAAGCGUUGUCCGGAAUUAUUGGGGGUAAAGCGCGCGCAGGCGGACUAGCCAGUCAGUCUUAAAAGUUCGGGGCUUAACCCCGUGAUGGGAUUGAAACUACUAGUCUAGAGUAUCGGAGAGGAAAGUGGAAUUCCUAGUGUAGCGGUGAAAUGCGUAGAUAUUAGGAAGAACACCAGUGGCGAAGGCGACUUUCUGGACGAACACUGACGCUGAGGCGCGAAAGCCAGGGGAGCGAACGGG